CCCUAUUAUUAAGAGGGAAAAAUGGAGUUAGGGAGUAGGGAAACAACUGAAAACCAUCUAGGAUGGCGGUUUUUUUUAUUAUUAGAUAGAUGUGUUUUUAAAACGAAAUUACACGACCAUCUUUCUCACUUUUGAAGAAGUCAUCCUGUACACCGCCGUCUGAAGAGUCAGCUUAAAGAGCUAGCCCUAUUUCUCUUACAUCAGAAAUAAGUCAGGUAAGGUGCAGACUAUGGGUGAGAACAAAUGCAUUUCAUUAAACCCCAAGAAAGUGGGUGAAAGACCUCUUUCAAGAAGAAUUUAACAGUAAGGUUUUUUUAUCAUAAAGUCCNNANAUAAUUUCANGAAAAUNUACNCNUCGCCCGUCNCU
RNAcentral lists this ribosomal RNA (367 nucleotides) under Columbicola macrourae. RNAcentral's name for it is "partial 12S ribosomal RNA". Lineage: Eukaryota; Metazoa; Arthropoda; Insecta; Psocodea; Philopteridae. The record is from RNAcentral.